UACGUAGGGUGCAAGCGUUGUCCGGAUUUAUUGGGCGUAAAGAGCUCGUAGGCGGCUUAGCAAGUCGGAAGUUAAAACAAGAGGCUCAACCUCUUGUCGCUUUCGAUACUGCUAUGGCUUGAGUCUGGUAGGGGAUGACGGAAUUCCACGUGUAGCGGUGAAAUGCGCAGAUAUGUGGAGGAACACCGGUGGCGAAGGCGGUCAUCUGGGCCAGUACUGACGCUGAGGAGCGAAAGCGUGGGGAGCGAACAGG
This 253-nucleotide ribosomal RNA is filed under the name uncultured bacterium. RNAcentral's name for it is "partial 16S ribosomal RNA". It matches the Rfam family "Bacterial small subunit ribosomal RNA", at positions 524 to 776 of the family's 1533-position model. The record is from RNAcentral.